Molecule: ribosomal RNA, 253 nt
Filed under: uncultured bacterium
Lineage: Bacteria
Description: partial 16S ribosomal RNA
Rfam family: Bacterial small subunit ribosomal RNA
Source: RNAcentral
UACGGAGGGUGCAAGCGUUAUCCGGAUUCACUGGGUUUACAGGGUGCGUAGGUGGGCAGGUAAGUCAGUGGUGAAAUCUCCGGGCUUAACCCGGAAACUGCCGUUGAUACUAUUUGUCUUGAAUAUAGUGGAGGUGAGCGGAAUAUGUCAUGUAGCGGUGAAAUGCUUAGAUAUGACAUAGAACAUCGAUUGCGAAGGCAGCUCGCUACACUAUUAUUGACACUGAGGCACGAAAGCGUGGGGAUCAAACAGG